GAAGAGCGUCUGUUAAUGUUGCUGCGCUUGAAACGCUCGUCGUUGAAUCUCUGGCAAUUGCCUACGGACACUUCUAUUGUGGUACCGUAGGAAAGUGCCUUUUUGUAUCUAUUCGUCGUUGAUUCACUUAAUUGUGUGUCACGUUCGAGAGCCACUUUCACUUUGGAGAAAUCAGUGUGCUCAUAACAGGCUUAUGCCUGCAUAUAACUGCAUGGGAUGAUGAAACUGGGCCUUUGACUCGUUUCGUUGGUUUACGAUUGCAAAGGCCAUGAUUAAUCGGGACAGACGGGGGCAUUCGUAUUGCGUCGAUAGAAGUGAAAUUCGGUGACCGACGUAAGACGAACAAUCGCGAAAGCAUUUGCCAAGAAUGUUUUCAUUAAUCAAGAACGAAAGUUAGAGUAUCGAAGACGAUUAGAUACCGUCCUAGUUCUAACUGUAAACGAUGCCAACCAGGGUUUCGUCAUAGCUUAUAUGCUUGACGAGCACCCUCCGGGAAACCUGAGUAAUCGGGUUCCGGGGGGAGUAUGGUUGCAGAAUCGAAACUUAAAGGAAUUGACGGAAGGGCACACCAGGAGUGGAGCCUGCGGCUUAAUUUGACUCAACGCACGAUAGCCGACUCGGUCCGAACACUUGAAGGAUUGACAGACUGAAAGCUCUUUCUUGAUUUAGUGGGUAGCGGUGCAUGGCCGUUCGUUGUUGGUGAAGUGAUUUGUCUGGUUUAUUCCGAUAACGAACGAGACUCUGGCCUAUUAACUAGCGUAACGUCUUUUUACGUUAUUGAUUGGCUUCUUAAAGGGACAAGUGCUUUCGAAGCACGCGAAAAAGAGCAAUAACAGGUCUGUGAUGCCCUUCGAUGUUCGAGGCUGCACGCGCGCUACAAUGGAGAGCCUAGAGCGUACUAUGUGUUUUGACAAAAAUGCAGAACCGUGAGCGGCCUCCGUUAUUGGGAUCGGAGCUUGAAAUUAUUCCUCGUCAACGAGGAAUUUCUAGUAAGCAUGAGUCAUUACCUCGUGCUGAUUAAGUCCCUGCCCUUUGUACACACCGCCCGUCGCUACUACCGAUCGAACGGUUCGAUGAGGUCUUUUGACUGUCGCAACGUGUGUUUAUACUCACGUUGCAAUUAUGAAAGCUGAUCAAGUUGGACCGUUUAGAGGAAGUAAAAGUCGUAACAAGGUUUCU
Molecule: ribosomal RNA, 1179 nt
Filed under: Rhadinorhynchus nudus
Lineage: Eukaryota; Metazoa; Acanthocephala; Palaeacanthocephala; Echinorhynchida; Rhadinorhynchidae
Description: SSU rRNA
Rfam family: Eukaryotic small subunit ribosomal RNA
Source: RNAcentral